RNAcentral lists this ribosomal RNA (497 nucleotides) under uncultured bacterium. Its description in RNAcentral is "partial 16S ribosomal RNA". It matches the Rfam family "Bacterial small subunit ribosomal RNA", at positions 28 to 507 of the family's 1533-position model. The record is from RNAcentral.
GAUGAACGCUGGCGGCGUGCCUAAUACAUGCAAGUCGAGCGAACGGACGAGAAGCUUGCUUCUCUGACGUUAGCGGCGGACGGGUGAGUAACACGUGGAUAACCUACCUAUAAGACUGGGAUAACUUCGGGAAACCGGAGCUAAUACCGGAUAAUAUUUUGAACCGCAUGGUUCAAUAGUGAAAGACGGUUUUGCUGUCACUUAUAGAUGGAUCCGCGCUGCAUUAGCUAGUUGGUAAGGUAACGGCUUACCAAGGCAACGAUGCGUAGCCGACCUGAGAGGGUGAUCGGCCACACUGGAACUGAGACACGGUCCAGACUCCUACGGGAGGCAGCAGUAGGGAAUCUUCCGCAAUGGGCGAAAGCCUGACGGAGCAACGCCGCGUGAGUGAUGAAGGUCUUCGGAUCGUAAAACUCUGUUAUUAGGGAAGAACAAAUGUGUAAGUAACUAUGCACAUCUUGACGGUACCUAAUCAGAAAGCCACGGCUAACUACGUG